Non-coding RNA from Paramuricea clavata, 368 nucleotides. The record is from the annotation of a GenBank genome assembly. Lineage: Eukaryota; Metazoa; Cnidaria; Anthozoa; Malacalcyonacea; Plexauridae.
UUUAAUAUGUUCUUUGAUUUUUGUUUAAUGAAAAAAUUUGUUCCGCUUUGGUUUGGCAAACCUAUGCUUGGAUUUUAAGAUAAUUUUAUUUCUCAAGUUCAUUGCAAAAAGCUUAAACUAUAUAUAACUUAGAUAUAAUCAACCUCCGCCCAAGCAGAUUCGAAAUGUUGUGCAAGAGGAGCAUAAAUUAAAAAUAAAUCUUUGACUUUGUCCCUCUAAGGCACUGAUAAAAGUGCUGAACAUAAAAUACUGAAGCUUAUAAUCGUGUCCGUACCAGUUCAUUGUGCUGGAGUAUUUAAGUAGUAUAUAUAGUAGAGUAUUUCUCUUUUCUUUUUUGUAAGAGUUUAAAAUUAAAGGCUAAUUCUGUG